AGAUUGGGUUCUAACUAUACUGCCCAAGCUAAAUUCAAACUCCUGGGCUCAAGUGAUCCUCCUGCCUAAGACUCCUUAGCAGCUUGAAACUUCAGAACCAUCUGUCACUGGCUGCUUCAUACUUUAGAUGCUCCAAGAGGAAAAAGUCACUUCAGAAUUGUAUCCAUAACCCAGUUUCACUGAAGAUGGAGUUUUCCUUCAGAUUUUCUACAUAGACAAUUAUACAUCUGUGAACAAAGACAGUUUAUUUCUUCCUUCCCACACCCUGCCACACUUCCUCCUGCUCCAGCAAUGUAAAACAUGCCUGCUUCCCCUUCACUUUCCACGUGACUGCAAGUUACCUGAUGCCUCUUUUGCCAGCUUUCCGUACAGCCUGUAGAACCAUGAGUAAUCACACCCCUUUCUUUAUAAAUUACCCAGUCUCAGACAUUUCUUUAUAGCAAUGCAAGAAUGGACUAAUACAGUAUCUGUGUAAAAAUGGAGAUGUUUCAUAAGAAAGAAUAAUCUCCUUUUGGUAUAA
This 520-nucleotide long non-coding RNA is filed under the name Pongo abelii (Sumatran orangutan). Its description in RNAcentral is "lincRNA". The record is from RNAcentral. Lineage: Eukaryota; Metazoa; Chordata; Mammalia; Primates; Hominidae.